RNAcentral lists this transfer RNA (64 nucleotides) under Californiconus californicus. RNAcentral's name for it is "tRNA-His". It matches the Rfam family "tRNA". From Rfam's summary of the family: Transfer RNA (tRNA) molecules are approximately 80 nucleotides in length. Their secondary structure includes four short double-helical elements and three loops (D, anti-codon, and T loops). The record is from RNAcentral. Lineage: Eukaryota; Metazoa; Mollusca; Gastropoda; Neogastropoda; Conidae.
GUUAAGUUAGUUUAAUAAAAAUAUCAGCCUGUGGAUUUGAAGAUGAAGAUAACUUCACUUAACC